This is a long non-coding RNA of Cyprinus carpio (common carp), 1072 nucleotides long. NCBI's taxonomy places the organism in Eukaryota, Metazoa, Chordata, Actinopteri, Cypriniformes, Cyprinidae. The record is from Ensembl.
AGAAAUAUUUGGGUGAACAGAAAUUUACAAGACAUGUGCAAUGUAAAACAGGUUAUUGUAUAUACUGUAUGUAGACAGAUAUCAUAUACUGUAUGUAGACAAAUUAACUCAAAAUACAGUCCAAAAUAAAGAGUAUUUUAUUUAUGAAAGUGUAUUGAUAGUUAUUGCACGUGUAAGCCUACUUAACUACUGUACAUUAAGUGUAGACCUACAGAUUACGUUACUUACAGUUAUUAGGUUUUUUAACACUUUUGCUUCAUCAUUAGGGGGUUUUGUGUGUAGAUUGAGGGGGGAAAUUAUUUUAAACUAUUUUAACAUAAGGCUGCAGCAGAACAAAAAUUGUGAAAAUAGUGUAAGGGGUCUGAAUUCCUGAAUGCUUGGUUGUGUAGCUGGCAGUAUUGACAACAAUCAAACUAACUUAAUAUUCUGCUUUUUCAAUAGGGAAGGAAGGAAUACCUUCUGAAAUGGCACCCUUGCAGUUUAUGUGGAAAAAAAUGGAGAAGCACCUGGGUGGAGGAGGAUUCCUUCCUUAUGUAGUGUGUGUGUGUGUGUGUGUGUGUGUGUUUAAUAAACAGUUGUUACAAUGCCAAAUGUCUUCGUUGGACUUACUCUUUUAUGCACUUUCACAUACAACACAUUCUGUCAACAUCUGUGACGGAGGAGUCAUCACACAUUAAAGCUGAUUAAAACUGUUUUUGGGUACCAGUACUGUUGUCAAAUAUAAGUCCUUAUUGCAACAGGUUGCCCUCUUUUGUAUAUCCUGUUUAUUUUCAGUCAUCUUCAUCAUAGGAAUAUAAUCCCCCAGGCUCUGAAGCUGCACCAGCAAAUGCAGUAAACAGCUGCCUGGAGCAAUGUCUUGGAUGAACCUGGACUUGCAGUGAAAGCAUGCAGAAACCAUAAAAACAUCCAUGCUUCUCUUUAUGAUUCUUACAUGUGUGUUGUACUGAUUAAUUUAAUUUGACUAUCACCUGCUGUGUCAACUUGCAGGUGGCUGACAUCAUUUAAAACUAUCAUGCAGGUACAGUGGUUGUUAAGCUAAGAAAAAAUAAACAUUGUGUGACCUCAAUAAAAG